GUUUGAGGAGAGAACUUGAUGAGCUGAUUCAGACCAAACUUUUGAAUCCUAGGAUGGAUAUACACACGUAUCAUGAGCUCCUAUCUGCCAUACGUUUACUGGUUUCAGAGGAUAAAAGUGAUGGCAAAUUUGUAUUUGGUCGUCAAGUUCUGAAACCCUCAAAGAUCUCUGUUAUGGCAACACGGCCAGCUCUAGUGUCGAGGACUGAAAGUGGACCUGGAGGUGAUAAUUCUAAGAGUCAGCUCCAAACAUUGCUAACCAGGGCAGGAUAUGCUGCACCAAUUUACAAGACAAAGCAGUUGAAGAACAACCAAUUUCGAGCUACUGUGGAGUUUAAUGGAAUGCAAGUAAUGGGGCAGCCUUGCAACAACAAGAAGAGUGCAGAGAAGGAUGCAGCGGCUGAGGCCCUGCAGUCACUGAUGGGUGGGGCCCAGACAGGCCAUGAAUACAUUAAUCAAAUGUCAAUGCUGCUAAAGAAAAGCAAGAAGGAUCACUACUGAACUAGCAUUUUUGAGCAUCCCAUAAGACAGCUCUUCCUGAAUUUAAAAAGCAUAGUAUGUGCUUAGCCAUGCCUGAUCAGGCUACAUGUAGCCGCAUUUUAUGUGGGUCCAUCUGCUCUUCUCCAUCUUUGAGGAAAAAGAGAAUGGAAUGCAACAUUACUUUACUAAGCCUAGCCUUGCGUUGAUGUACCGGUACGGCAUUUAGCAAAUGGAGUGAUAUAGCAAUCUGGCACCAGAAUUGUGGGCUCAUGCUAGUUCAAGUUAAUUUGGAUUAAUUGACCUGGUUUCAGAGUUCAGACAUGGAGUUAAACCUGACUAUUUAGUAUUUACUAACUGGUGCUCAUCACUGUUUUCCAGUUUGUUGAUGUUUGAAGCUGCGUGAUUGAUACAGGCAAUGCAUUCAUCUCACGCAGACCUUCUGGAAUAGCAUGGAAGUAUACAGUACGCAGAUUUUUUAUAGGAAUAGGAGUAUAUUGUAACCCUUUCGAGUCUAUUAGAUUUUAACUGAUUUUUGUGUAUAAAUGUGAUGCUAGAGACCUGAGAGGUCUGUAUAUUGUAAUGGUUGAAUGGUGAACGGCUAACAGUAUGCAACUCUUUUAUUGUUAUUAAAGGCCAUAGCGUGAAGGAUCUCCAUGCAUUUUUUUUUUAACGAACGAAACAAAAG
Molecule: unclassified non-coding RNA, 1164 nt
Filed under: Hevea brasiliensis (rubber tree)
Lineage: Eukaryota; Viridiplantae; Streptophyta; Magnoliopsida; Malpighiales; Euphorbiaceae
Source: RNAcentral